UACGUAGGGUGCGAGCGUUGUCCGGAAUUAUUGGGCGUAAAGAGCUCGUAGGCGGUGUGUCACGUCGGCCGUGAAAACCUGCAGCUUAACUGUGGGCGUGCGGUCGAUACGGGCAUCACUGGAGUUCGGCAGGGGAGACUGGAAUUCCUGGUGUAGCGGUGAAAUGCGCAGAUAUCAGGAGGAACACCGGUGGCGAAGGCAGGUCUCUGGGACGCUACUGACGCUGAGAAGCGAAAGCAUGGGGAGCGAACAGG
RNAcentral lists this ribosomal RNA (254 nucleotides) under uncultured bacterium. RNAcentral describes it as "partial 16S ribosomal RNA". It matches the Rfam family "Bacterial small subunit ribosomal RNA", at positions 524 to 776 of the family's 1533-position model. The record is from RNAcentral.